AAUGAACGCUGGCGGCGUGCCUAACACAUGCAAGUCGAGCGAGAAAGCUCCUUCGGGAGUAAGUACAGCGGCGGACGGGUGAGUAACACGUGAGAAUCUACCCUUUAGUGAAGAAUACCCUUGAGAAAUCAAGGUUAAUGCUGCAUAUGUCCCUUCGGGGAGAAAGAUGGCCUCUUUGCUGUCGCUAAAGGAUGAGCUUGCGGACUAUUAGCUAGUUGGUGAGGUAAUGGCUCACCAAGGCGAUGAUGGAUAGCCGGCCUGAGAGGGUGUACGGCCACACUGGAACUUAGACACGGUCCAGACUCCUACGGGAGGCAGCAGUGAGGAAUAUUGCGCAAUGGGCGAAAGCCUGACGCAGCGACGCCGCGUGGAGGAUGAAGGUCUUCGGAUUGUAAACUCCUGUUAAGUGGGAAGAAAGGCUCGCUUUUAAUAGAAGCGAGAGAUGACGGUACCAUUAGAGAAAGCACCGGCUAACUUCGUGCCAGCCGCCGCCGUAAAAC
This 500-nucleotide ribosomal RNA is filed under the name uncultured bacterium. RNAcentral's name for it is "bacterial SSU rRNA". It matches the Rfam family "Bacterial small subunit ribosomal RNA", at positions 29 to 526 of the family's 1533-position model. The record is from RNAcentral.